UCUCUUCGGGGAUGAUUAAACCGGCGCACGGGUGAGUAACACGUGAGUGACCUGCCUUUUAGACUGGAACAACUUACCGAAAGGUGAGCUAAUGCCGGAUGAGUUAUAUAAGUGCAUGUUUAUAUAGGAAAAGUUGGGGAGACCUGACGCUGAAAGAUGGACUCGCGUCCCAUUAGCUAGUUGGUAGGGUAAUGGCCUACCAAGGCGACGAUGGGUAGCCGGCCUGAGAGGGUGGCCGGCCACACUGGGACUGAGACACGGCCCAGACUCCUACGGGAGGCAGCAGUGGGGAAUUUUGCGCAAUGCUCGUAAGAGUGACGCAGCGACGCCGCGUGAAUGACGAAGGCCUUCGGGUCGUAAAGUUCUUUCGACAGGGAAGAAAAUGCCUAUAAGUAACUGUGUAUGUAUUGACGGUACCUGUAUAAGCAGCCCCGGCUAACUCCGUGCCAGCAGCCGCGGUAAUACGGAGGGGGCGAGCGUUGUUCGGAGUGACUGGGCGUAAAGAGCACGUAGGCGGUGUUGUAAGUCAUUAGUCAAAGACUAGAGCUCAACUUUAGUAAGGCUAGUGAUACUAUAAUACUAGAGUAUCAGAGAGGAUUGCAGAAUUCCUGGUGUAGCGGUGAAAUGCGUAGAUAUCAGGAGGAAUACCGUUAGCGAAGGCGGCAAUCUGGCUGGAAACUGACGCUGAGGUGCGAAAGCGUGGGUAGCAAACAGGAUUAGAUACCCCUGGUAGUCCACGCUGUAAACGAUGGAUGCUAGGUGUUGGGCUUUUAAGUUCAGUGCC
This 784-nucleotide ribosomal RNA is filed under the name uncultured bacterium. RNAcentral describes it as "bacterial SSU rRNA". It matches the Rfam family "Bacterial small subunit ribosomal RNA", at positions 75 to 847 of the family's 1533-position model. The record is from RNAcentral.